CCUUGACAGUCGCAUAGGGCGGCUGACAUUAGCCUAGACAAGGAGUUCCUCAUG
Molecule: non-coding RNA, 54 nt
Filed under: unclassified sequences
Description: Mu-gpT-DE RNA
Rfam family: Mu-gpT-DE RNA
Source: Rfam by way of RNAcentral